UAGCUACAGGCUUAACACAUGCAAGUCGAGGGGUAGCAGGGUAGCAAUACCGCUGACGACCGGCGCACGGGUGAGUAACACGUAUCCAACCUUCCCAUAACUCGGGGAUAGCCUUUCGAAAGAAAGAUUAAUACCCGAUAGUACUUUUUCAAGGCAUCUUGAGAAAGUUAAAGAUUUAUUGGUUAUGGAUGGGGAUGCGUUCCAUUAGAUAGUUGGUGAGGUAACGGCUCACCAAGUCUUCGAUGGAUAGGGGUUCUGAGAGGAAGGUCCCCCACAUUGGUACUGAGACACGGACCAAACUCCUACGGGAGGCAGCAGUGAGGAAUAUUGGUCAAUGGGCGAGAGCCUGAACCAGCCAAGUAGCGUGAAGGAUGACGG
This 378-nucleotide ribosomal RNA is filed under the name uncultured Bacteroidales bacterium. RNAcentral's name for it is "bacterial SSU rRNA". It matches the Rfam family "Bacterial small subunit ribosomal RNA", at positions 37 to 414 of the family's 1533-position model. Lineage: Bacteria; Pseudomonadati; Bacteroidota; Bacteroidia; Bacteroidales. The record is from RNAcentral.